CCUACGGGAGGCUGCAGUGAGGAAUAUUGGUCAAUGGGCGGGAGCCUGAACCAGCCAUGCCGCGUGAAGGCGAGUGCCCUACGGGCGUUAAACUUCUUUUGUGCGGGAGCAAUAAGGGCCACGUGUGGCCCGAUGAGAGUACCGCACGAAUAAGCAUCGGCUAACCUCGUGCCAGCAGCCGCGGUAAUACGGGGGAUUCGAGCGUUAUCCGGAUUUUUUGGGUUUAAAGGGUUCGUAGGCGGGGCGUCAGGUCAGAGGUGAAAUACCGGGGCUCAACCCCGGGGCUGCCGUUGAAACCGGAGCGCUAGAAAUCCGAUGCCGUCGGAGGAAUGUGUGGUGUAGCGGUGAAAUGCAUAGAUAUCACACAGAACACCGAUUGCGAAGGCAUCUGACGAAUCGGAGAUUGACGCUGAUGCACGAAAGCGUGGGUAGCGAACAGGAUUAGAUACCCGGGUAGUC
Molecule: ribosomal RNA, 459 nt
Filed under: uncultured bacterium
Lineage: Bacteria
Description: partial 16S ribosomal RNA
Rfam family: Bacterial small subunit ribosomal RNA
Source: RNAcentral